Carassius gibelio (silver crucian carp) is the source of this 750-nucleotide long non-coding RNA. RefSeq lists it as uncharacterized. Lineage: Eukaryota; Metazoa; Chordata; Actinopteri; Cypriniformes; Cyprinidae. The transcript has 4 exons. The record is from RefSeq and is a predicted model, not a curated record.
AUAAGGUAUAUGUUUAACACGCAUGCGCGUCGUACAUAUUGGCGUUACCAAGGAGUAUAGAAGCGCUAUAUACCUAGGGUUACUGCGCAUGUACAGGUUCAUUCACUUCCGGAUGUAUGGUGGAUUCGAGAUUCGUUGGCAAUGCAUACUACAGUCCUCAGAAAAGGAGAAAAGAUAACAAUAGAACAGUGCAUCUCAUGCUGUGAUAAAUAUCACUGCCCAUUUUGUGAGACCUGGGUCUACAAACCAGUGGACUUGUACAGUGUCACGAAGCAUGUGCAGGAUCAUCUGAAAACAGCUGUUCGUGAAGAAGAUUUUAUUAUCAUAAGAUGCAGCUUAAAAUGCAGAGAUGUUUCUCAUUUUCAUUGCUGCUAUUGUUCUGCUACAAUCAUACGAAAAGCACAAUUUAACAUCCAUCUUACAAAAUGCAAGCAAAAGAAACAAAAGUUUCCAUCUCCACAAAGAACUCCAUCACCCAUGGUUCUGAUUGGUAAUACACCUCUGCCUGCAGCUUCUGCUCAGACAGCACCCCUUCUUCAACCUCAGCCUUCUCCAAGUGAACCACGCACGUCUUUGUCUCCCACGCCCAGUACUCCACUGUAUCAACCCAAAGUGUCGUGAACUGGAGUGCAUUUUCUGUAGGAUACAGACAGGAGUUCCGGGUGCCGUAUUCACUGACCCAGUGCCUAUGGUGCCAUGAAACAUUCAAAGACUGCCCACCUGGCUAUGUUGGGAAUGGCAGGAGGGGAG